AAACCUUUUUUUUAAGGGGGGGGGGUUUUUUUGUUGUUUCCCCCCCCCCCCCCCCCCCCAGUAAUUACAACUGCAGCACGGGCUGCUGCUGGGCCCAUUUGCAUAAACAGUUUAGCAACUGUGCUGCCUCUAAAUGGGGCCGCUACCGGGGCUGCUUUGCAUAAUGCGCCGCUUCCCCGACCCCAUCCCGGCCUAAUUGGCCUAAUUGGCCUGACGAGCCGGGACCUCCCGAACCCGGGUCAGCCCUGGGGGUCGCUGCCCCUGCCCGCGGAUUGCGACUCCGGCCCCGGGGUGGAUAAAUGCUGCCCCCGCUGCGGGAGGGAGAUGUGCGGGGCUUCAAGCACCUGCAGCUCCCCUGGCUCCGCCACCAGCCUGCCACGUCCCCGGCACCGUCCCUGCCUCUGCGUGGCCACCGUGCCGCCGCCACGUGCCGGCACUGCGGGGUGGGCAGCGCCGGUGCCCCCGCGUCGCGCCGGCGAAGCCCAGCGGGACCCCGGGGACGGAUGGUGCCGUACGGCCGCAAACAGUCGGCACCUGGGGAGAAGCCGGCAGCCUCUCCGACGAGGAACGCAUUCGAGGGGAGAGAAUUACACCUUGACGAGAGGAAAUUUUUGCCUACAGAUUAAACGCGUCGCUCCCUUUGGCUGGAGACUGAACCUGAGCCGAGCGCGGCCGCAGCCCGGGUGGGCACGAGGGGGCCGCUGGCGCUGCUCGGCUGCUGCCCCCGGCCGGGGCUCGGCACAGGGGGGGCUCCUCCGGCAGCGCUGCCCCCUCCCAGCUCCGCGGGGAGCUGCGGCCUGGCGCUGCUGCGGCAAACUGCUGACACAUCAGCCGAAACCUCUAAUUAAAACCAUAAUGAUAAAGGAAAAAUGUGGGCUACGAGGCAAUCAAUAACGGAACAAAACGCGCUCCUGCCAGGGCUUGUUUCCUCGGACUCAGGUCCCCGAGGGGCUUCGCAAAGCCGUGAUCUGGAUGCGAGCUGCGAGCGCUCGCAGCGGGAUCGUCCGCCUCCCCCCCGUCCUCCCAGCACAGCCCUGCAUGGGGGGGACACAAAGGGGACACCCAGAGCGCCGGGGGACAAACGGCCCGGCACUGCUCAUCCAUUUUCUCUCCACCACGUUAAUCAACGGCGAGAGAAGCUGCACGGCUGUUGGACUCCAGCAACGGCAGCAGAGGUCGGCUCCGUCCCCACGGGGUGGGGGCUGGCGACGGGGAGGGACCGGCCCCCAAAAUCCAGCACCCGCAGGGGGUCCCUGCCUAGCGCCGCCGGGUGCUGUUGUCUGCCCAGGCGAUGUGCCCGCGGUGCUGUAAGGGAACGGCCGCGCCGUCCUGCGUAAUGGGUCGCGUGCUACGAGCCGGAGAGGUGACCGCAGGGAGCAGUACCGGUGACAGCACGCCGUAAUUCCCGGCGUCGUCCCAGCCAGGCCGGCUGAGCCGGGCUGUCUCGGCGGAGCCGCGUGCGUGCCGGAGCUGCACCACGCAGGGUUGAGCGCCGUGCCCGGCGUGCUCGUGGCACCCAAGCGCGUGAACGCCGGCUGCCGGUGUGCUCCAGGAGCCCGCGGCGCUGCCAGCGGUCACUUCCCUGCCGGGUCCCGCUCCACCUUGCCAGAAUCAGGGGAAAAAGCUGCUAAAAAUGUGCUGGCACCGGAGCCCCAGCAGUACGGGCUUCCUGCCUGACUGCAUGGCACGGCGUGGUGCGGCACAGCGUGGCACGGCACGGCACGGCAUAACUUGGCACGGCAUAACACGGCUCGGCACAGCACGGCACAGCGUGCCACGUGCCUCCCCAGCUUCCCACCCUCUGCUCUCCCAGCCAGCGUGACAUCUGCGUGUCCCCGGGGGGGACACGACACCUGCAUGUCCCUGGGGGACACACAACACCUGCGCGGCCACCGGGCGCCGGGGACAGGGUGCGGACACGCACGCACAGGGCAGGGGACAUUGGCUCCCAGCCCAGCACAGCGAGGAGCAAAGCCUUCCUGUCCCCCGACCUCGUCCCUUUCCAGAUACAGCAUCACCAUCCUGUCCCCAUUCCCGUCCCCAUCCCAUCCCCAUCCCUGUCCCCGUCCCCUUUUCCAUCACCAUCCUGUCCCCAUCCCUGUCCCCAUGCCAUCCCCAUCUACAUCCCCAUCACCAUCCUGUCCCCAUCCACAUCCCCGUCUCCAUCACCAUCCUGUCUCCACCCCUGUCACCAUCUUAUCCCCAUCCCCGUCCCCAUCCCUGCCCCUGCGUGGCCAAAGGGCUCUCCUCUUGCAUUAAGCCCCAGCGCCUACAACGCACGAGCGAAGGAGAAGGGGAGGCGAGGCAAAAAAAAAGGGGGAAAAAAAAUAAAAGAGCUGCUUUCUGCUCA
Anser cygnoides (Swan goose) is the source of this 2350-nucleotide long non-coding RNA. The record is from Ensembl. NCBI's taxonomy places the organism in Eukaryota, Metazoa, Chordata, Aves, Anseriformes, Anatidae.